GGAGCUCAUAGAGAACAUCAAGAGUGGAAAUGUGAAGAUUGAUUUUGACAAAUGUUUUUCCACUCAUGCAAUGAUGCCGAACUUGAGACAGAUUGCGAAGUACUUGAGGCAGUUGAUGCCAGAUACUAAGAAAGGUACUGUUACCAAAGAUAUAACAAAAGCAGUGAAAGAAGCUAAGCGAGGUGUACCGUUCAAAAAAGAUAAAACUGCAAUUGUGCAUGUAGGAAUUGGGAAGGUAAGUUUUCAAGAAGAGGCAUUGUGUGAAAACAUUGGUGCAUUUGUACAUGAACUUUUGCGUCAGAAGCCUGCUGGUCUAAAAAAGAGCUCAAAAUAUGCUGGUUAUGUGAAUACAGUCCAUCUCUGCAGUACGAUGGGUCCAUCAUUUCCUGUUACAAUACAGUCGUUAUCGAUUGCAGCAGACCGC
This 424-nucleotide unclassified non-coding RNA is filed under the name Hevea brasiliensis (rubber tree). The record is from RNAcentral. Lineage: Eukaryota; Viridiplantae; Streptophyta; Magnoliopsida; Malpighiales; Euphorbiaceae.